RNAcentral lists this ribosomal RNA (301 nucleotides) under uncultured bacterium. RNAcentral's name for it is "partial 16S ribosomal RNA". It matches the Rfam family "Bacterial small subunit ribosomal RNA", at positions 509 to 807 of the family's 1533-position model. The record is from RNAcentral.
CAGCCGCCGCGGUAAUACGUAGGGUGCAAGCGUUAAUCGGAAUUACUGGGCGUAAAGCGUGCGCGGGCGGUUUGUUAAGACAGAUGUGAAAUCCCCGGGCUCAACCUGGGAACUGCAUUUGUGACUGGCAAGCUAGAGUGUGGCAGAGGGGGGUGGAAUUCCGCGUGUAGCAGUGAAAUGCGUAGAGAUCGUGAGGAACAUCAGUGGCGAAGGCGGCCAUCUGGGACAACACUGACGCUGAGGCACGAAAGCGUGGGGAGCAAACAGGAUUAGAUACCCCAGUAGUCCCUGUCUCUUAUAC